Trametes versicolor FP-101664 SS1 is the source of this 82-nucleotide transfer RNA. It matches the Rfam family "tRNA". Rfam says of the family: Transfer RNA (tRNA) molecules are approximately 80 nucleotides in length. Their secondary structure includes four short double-helical elements and three loops (D, anti-codon, and T loops). The record is from Rfam. Lineage: Eukaryota; Fungi; Basidiomycota; Agaricomycetes; Polyporales; Polyporaceae.
ACACUGAUGGUGAAACGGUAUCAUGCUUGCCUUCCACUCUUCACGGUAGCAAGCGGCGUGGGUUCGACUCCCGCUCAGUGUA